Molecule: ribosomal RNA, 468 nt
Filed under: uncultured bacterium
Lineage: Bacteria
Description: partial 16S ribosomal RNA
Rfam family: Bacterial small subunit ribosomal RNA
Source: RNAcentral
GACGAACGCUGGCGGCGUGCUUAACACAUGCAGGUCGAACGGAAAGGCCCUGCUUUUGUGGGGUGCUCGAGUGGCGAACGGGUGAGUAACACGUGAGUAACCUGCCCUUGACUUUGGGAUAACUUCAGGAAACUGGGGCUAAUACCGGAUAGGAGCUCCUGCUGCAUGGUGGGGGUUGGAAAGUUUCGGCGGUUGGGGAUGGACUCGCGGCUUAUCAGCUUGUUGGUGGGGUAGUGGCAUACCAAGGCUUUGACGGGUAGCCGGCCUGAGAGGGUGACCGGCCACAUUGGGACUGAGAUACGGCCCAGACUCCUACGGGAGGCAGCAGUGGGGAAUAUUGCACAAUGGGCGGAAGCCUGAUGCAGCAACGCCGCGUGCGGGAUGACGGCCUUCGGGUUGUAAACCGCUUUCGCCUGUGACGAAGCGUGAGUGACGGUAAUGGGUAAAGAAGCACCGGCUAACUACGUG